GAUGAACGCUGGCGGCGUGCUUAACACAUGCAAGUCGAGCGAUGAAGUUUCCUUCGGGAAACGGAUUAGCGGCGGACGGGUGAGUAACACGUGGGUAACCUGCCUCAUAGAGUGGAAUAGCCUUCCGAAAGGAAGAUUAAUACCGCAUAACGUUGAAAGAUGGCAUCAUCAUUCAACCAAAGGGGCAAUCCGCUAUGAGAUGGACCCGCGGCGCAUUAGCUAGUUGGUGGGGUAACGGCCGACCAAGGCGACGAUGCGUAGCCGACCUGAGAGGGUGAUCGGCCACAUUGGGACUGAGACACGGCCCAGACUCCUACGGGAGGCAGCAGUGGGGAAUAUUGCACAAUGGGGGAAACCCUGAUGCAGCAACGCCGCGUGAGUGAUGAAGGUUUUCGGAUCGUAAAGCUCUGUCUUUGGGGAAGAUAAUGACGGUACUCAAGGAGGAAGCCACGGCUAACUACGUGCCAGCCGCCGCCGUAA
RNAcentral lists this ribosomal RNA (480 nucleotides) under uncultured bacterium. Its description in RNAcentral is "partial 16S ribosomal RNA". It matches the Rfam family "Bacterial small subunit ribosomal RNA", at positions 28 to 523 of the family's 1533-position model. The record is from RNAcentral.